This is a long non-coding RNA of Dendronephthya gigantea, 132 nucleotides long. RefSeq lists it as uncharacterized. The transcript is spliced from 3 exons. NCBI's taxonomy places the organism in Eukaryota, Metazoa, Cnidaria, Anthozoa, Malacalcyonacea, Nephtheidae. The record is from RefSeq and is a predicted model, not a curated record.
AGCACCUCGUUCGUCGAGUCAACUUCCUACACAAACAUCUCAACACGAUACAGCAACUUCUUCUUUGAGUCAUCUUCCAACGAGCACAACUUCACAUGGUAAAGCAACUUCAUCUUUGAGUCAUCUUCCAAC